RNAcentral lists this ribosomal RNA (407 nucleotides) under uncultured bacterium. Its description in RNAcentral is "partial 16S ribosomal RNA". It matches the Rfam family "Bacterial small subunit ribosomal RNA", at positions 30 to 526 of the family's 1533-position model. The record is from RNAcentral.
AUUGAACGCUAGCGGGAUGCUUUACACAUGCAAGUCGAACGGAGUGGCGGACGGGUGUGUAAUAUAUCGGAACGUGCCCAGUCGAGGGGGCUAACUGGCAGAAAGAGUGUCUAAUACCGCAUACUAUUGGAGCGGCUGAUAUGGGAUUAGCUAGUUGGUGGGGUAACGGCUCACCAAGGCAACGAUCCAUAGCUGGUUUGAGAGGAGGACAAGCCACACUGGGACUGAGACACGGCCCAGACUCCUACGGGAGGCAGCAGUGGGGAAUUUUGGACAAUGGGGGAAAGCCUGAUCCAGACAGCCCGCGUGUAUGAAGAAGGCCUUCGGGUUGUAAAGUACUUUUGGUAGAGAAGCGGUAUCUACAGAAGAAGCACCGGCUAACUACGUGCCAGCAGCCGCGGUAAUUC